Molecule: transfer RNA, 57 nt
Filed under: Acalypha leptopoda
Lineage: Eukaryota; Viridiplantae; Streptophyta; Magnoliopsida; Malpighiales; Euphorbiaceae
Description: partial tRNA-Leu
Source: RNAcentral
CACUUAAAAAAUCCGUCGACUUUAGAAAUCGUGAGGGUUCAAGUCCCUCUAUCCCCA